CCCUGUUGAGCUUGACUCUAGUCUGGCAUUGUGAAAAGACAUAGGAGGUGUAGAAUAGGUGGGAGCUUCGGCGCCGGUGAAAUACCACUACUCCUAUUGUUUUUUUACUUAUUCAAUGAAGCGGCGCUGGAUUUACGUCCAACUUCUGGUUUUAAGGACCUUCGCGGGCCGAGCCAGGUUGAAUAUAUUGUCAGGUGGGGAGUUUGGCUGGGGCGGCACAUCUGUUAUACCAUAACGCAUGUGUCCUACUGGGGGCUCAUGGAGAACAGAAAUCUCCAGUAGAACAAAAGGGUAAAACUCCCCUUGAUUUCGAUUUUCAGUGUGAAUACAAAACAUGAAA
This 340-nucleotide ribosomal RNA is filed under the name uncultured Clavicipitaceae. RNAcentral describes it as "eukaryotic LSU rRNA". It matches the Rfam family "Eukaryotic large subunit ribosomal RNA", at positions 2411 to 2757 of the family's 3401-position model. The record is from RNAcentral. Lineage: Eukaryota; Fungi; Ascomycota; Sordariomycetes; Hypocreales; Clavicipitaceae.